CCUGCCAAGUAUCAGCCAUAGCGGCGCGCCGCGCGCGGAACCUAGUGGCGCCAGCGCUGGCCUGCUGCUCCUCUCUCUCCCCUCUCUCCAAUUUCCUGCCUCCGCCACCCUCCCCUCGCUCCGCGGCCCUCGUACAGCGACCCCGGCCGUCCUCGGCUCCGGCGACCUGAAGGUACCUGAUCGGCGGCCCUCGCUUGACUCGGCCCCGGCGACCUCGACGUCACCACCCUUCUCCGGCGACCACACCACCUCGCCCUGCUCCAACGACCGAGCCACGCCCUGCUCCGUGGUCGACUUCAACCACUUCGCUGUAGCAUUUCAUCAACACCGCCACCACCAUCUCGGAGGAAUUCCUGUCCAGCGCUGACAAGGAUGGGAAGCAGCACUGACAAAUCCUUUCAUAAGGUUCACAGGAUGGCAGUUUAAGUUUGUUGAAGGUUUGGUAUCACUUCUGCUCCAGGUAGGACAUCUUUGAGCAGGACACCAUGCACAAAAGGUUUGGUACUAAUUGCUUGAAAAAAUCCUGCUUUUUGCAGCACCAUCCUGUUGAGCCAUGAGAUUUGAACCAAUGAAUUCAGAUAACAUCUACCAUGUUUAUGGAUCACUACAUGUUCCAUUGGAAGUGGAACAAUGUGAGAUUCCUUUUUCAGUAAUCAUCUGAACACAGGUUUGCUACUUAAUUCUCAAAGAAAUCGUGCUUUCGCAUCACCAUCCUGUGGAACCACGAGGCCUGAUCCAAUUAUUUCAGAGAACAUGUACUAUGUUUAUGGAUCACUACAUGUUCUGGUGGAACAAGGGUUUGCUAAGGUUCUAUUUUAAUCAUACGAUGAGCAUGGGGUCCACAACAUACUCACAUAGUUACAAAUCUGAAGCACUGGUUAGUUUGUUGGCUAGCAGUAUGAAUCAGAACUGGGUACUUUUAUCUGUUACGAAUAAUUUAAAUAUAUUUUUAGUGAUCUUGUGUG
Molecule: long non-coding RNA, 965 nt
Organism: Triticum dicoccoides
Lineage: Eukaryota; Viridiplantae; Streptophyta; Magnoliopsida; Poales; Poaceae
Exons: 6
Source: RefSeq, a predicted model, not a curated record